This 468-nucleotide ribosomal RNA is filed under the name uncultured bacterium. RNAcentral describes it as "partial 16S ribosomal RNA". It matches the Rfam family "Bacterial small subunit ribosomal RNA", at positions 28 to 507 of the family's 1533-position model. The record is from RNAcentral.
GACGAACGCUGGCGGCGUGCUUAACACAUGCAAGUCGAACGGAAAGGCCCUGCUUUUGUGGGGUGCUCGAGUGGCGAACGGGUGAGUAACACGUGAGUAACCUGCCCUUGACUUUGGGAUAACUUCAGGAAACUGGGGCUAAUACCGGAUAGGAGCUCCUGCUGCAUGGUGGGGGUUGGAAAGUUUCGGCGGUUGGGGAUGGACUCGCGGCUUAUCAGCUUGUUGGUGGGGUAGUGGCUUACCAAGGCUUUGACGGGUAGCCGGCCUGAGAGGGUGACCGGCCACAUUGGGACUGAGAUAAGGCCCAGACUCCUACGGGAGGCAGCAGUGGGGAAUAUUGCACAAUGGGCGGAAGCCUGAUGCAGCAACGCCGCGUGCGGGAUGACGGCCUUCGGGUUGUAAACCGCUUUCGCCUGUGACGAAGCGUGAGUGACGGUAAUGGGUAAAGAAGCACCGGCUAACUAUGUG